UUCUCUCUCCAAUUUAUAAUUAUCUCAAAACAAAAAAUGUUCUCACUCAUCCAAUUCCCUUCUUCUAUUGUUCUUCAAUUUUCAUUCCCCCGUUUCUCUCUUUAUAUGUGACGUUUUUUCGAUUAUUUUUAGAAAUUGAUAAAAAUCUCCCAAAAAAUAUUCACAACAAUCUCAUUAAUUUUAGGAUCAACGGCUAGAAAGCUGGAAGAAAGCAGAUCUAAGCAUCUACAUGACCUUUUCCGUAUGCAAAACCUUCCUCAAUUACAGAAUAUAAACAUCAUCAAGAGCAAGGACACAUACAAUGAAAAUAAAAGGAAACGAUAGGCUCUUCGUCUUUACGUGCAUAUGUAUUCCCUUGUUCCCUUUCAAAUUUAUAUAAUCUAAAAAUAUAAUAAGUAUUUCCUUUUGUGAAAAAAAUUACUUAUGUUUGGAUACAACUCAUAACUAAACUAAAGUGUAUUGAUCACAGUUUUUCGUUGGUUUUAUACAUAAAUUUUGUAUUCAUUCUAACUGUAUGCCAUCAAAUUUUAUAAUCUUAUCUUCAUUUUGUUUUCGUACUAUGAAUUGGAUACAACUUCUGUAGUU
Solanum tuberosum (potato) is the source of this 585-nucleotide long non-coding RNA. RefSeq lists it as uncharacterized. The transcript has 2 exons. NCBI's taxonomy places the organism in Eukaryota, Viridiplantae, Streptophyta, Magnoliopsida, Solanales, Solanaceae. The record is from RefSeq and is a predicted model, not a curated record.